Molecule: long non-coding RNA, 1001 nt
Organism: Oncorhynchus keta (chum salmon)
Lineage: Eukaryota; Metazoa; Chordata; Actinopteri; Salmoniformes; Salmonidae
Exons: 3
Source: RefSeq, a predicted model, not a curated record
GGUACUGUAGAUGUCAUGUAAUUGGUACUGUAGAUGUCACGUAAUUGGUACUGUAGAUGUCACGUAAAUGGUACUGUAGAUGUCAUGUAAUUGGUACUGUAGAUGUCAUGUAAAUGGUACUGUAGAUGUCAUGUAAUUGGUACUGUAGAUGUCAUGUAAAUGGUACUGUAGAUGUCAUGUAAUUGGUACUGUAGAUGUCAUGUAAAUGGUACUGUAGAUGUCACGUAAUUGGUACUGUAGAUGUCAUGUAAAUGGUACUGUAGAUGUCAUGUAAAUGGUACUGUAGAUGUCACGUAAAUGGUACUGUAGAUGUCACGUGAAUGGUACUGUAGAUGUCACGUAAAUGGUACUGUAGAUGUCACGUAAAUGGUACUGUAGAUGUCAUGUAAAUGGUACUGUAGAUGUCAUGUAAUUGGUACUGUAGAUGUCACGUAAAUGGUACUGUAGAUGUCACGUAAAUGGUACUGUAGAUGUCACGUAAAUGGUACUGUAGAUGUCAUGUAAUUGGUACUGUAGAUGUCACGUAAUUGGUACUGUAGAUGUCACGUAAUUGGUACUGUAGAUGUCAUGUAAUUGGUACUGUAGAUGUCAUGUAAUUGGUACUGUAGAUGUCAUGUAAUUGGUACUGUAGAUGUCACGUAAUUGGUACUGUAGAUGUCAUGUAAAUGGUACUGUAGAUGUCAUGUAAUUGGUACUGUAGAUGUCAUGUAAUUGGUACUGUAGAUGUCACGUAAUUGGUACUGUAGAUGUCAUGUAAAUGGUACUGUAGAUGUCACGUAAAUGGUACUGUAGAUGUCACGUAAUUGGUACUGUAGAUGUCACGUAAAUGGUACUGUAGAUGUCAUGUAAUUGGUACUGUAGAUGUCACGUAAUUGGUACUGUAGAUGUCACGUAAUUGGUACUGUAGAUGUCACGUAAAUGGUACUGUAGAUGUCACGUAAUUGGUACUGUAGAUGUCACGUAAUUGGUACUGUAGAUGUCACGUAAAUGGUACUGUAGAU